RNAcentral lists this small RNA (153 nucleotides) under Priestia endophytica. Its description in RNAcentral is "Bacillus endophyticus c-di-AMP sequence". It matches the Rfam family "c-di-AMP riboswitch aptamer (ydaO/yuaA leader)". From Rfam's summary of the family: This family represents a conserved RNA structure found upstream of the ydaO and yuaA genes in Bacillus subtilis and related genes in other bacteria. Lineage: Bacteria; Bacillati; Bacillota; Bacilli; Caryophanales; Bacillaceae. The record is from Rfam by way of RNAcentral.
UCAUCUUAACCGCUGAAUCCGUAUGGAACGGAGGAACCAAUUUUGUAACAGUUUUUUCUGUUACUUGGGGUGAAUCCUUUAUGUAAGUAAAGGUAGGGUUACUUCUUGACCCGAAUCCGACAGCUAACUUCGUAAGCGUUAGGGAGAGGGUGU